AGUGAACGCUGGCGGUAGGCCUAACACAUGCAAGUCGAGCGGCAGCACAGUAAGAGCUUGCUCUUACGGGUGGCGAGUGGCGGACGGGUGAGGAAUACAUCGGAAUCUACUUUUUCGUGGGGGAUAACGUAGGGAAACUUACGCUAAUACCGCAUACGAACUACGGGUGAAAGCAGGGGAUCUUCGGACCUUGCGCGAAUGAAUGAGCCGAUGUCGGAUUAGCUAGUUGGCGGGGUAAAGGCCCACCAAGGCGACGAUCCGUAGCUGGUCUGAGAGGAUGAUCAGCCACACUGGAACUGAGACACGGUCCAGACUCCUACGGGAGGCAGCAGUGGGGAAUAUUGGACAAUGGGCGCAAGCCUGAUCCAGCCAUACCGCGUGGGUGAAGAAGGCCUUCGGGUUGUAAAGCCCUUUUGUUGGGAAAGAAAAGCAGCAGGUUAAUACCCCGCUGUUCUGACGGUACCCAAAGAAUAAGCACCGGCUAACUUCGUG
This 492-nucleotide ribosomal RNA is filed under the name uncultured bacterium. RNAcentral describes it as "partial 16S ribosomal RNA". It matches the Rfam family "Bacterial small subunit ribosomal RNA", at positions 29 to 507 of the family's 1533-position model. The record is from RNAcentral.